AGUCGAGCGAAAGAAGGGAGCUUGCUCCCGGAUGUUAGCGGCGCACGGGUGAGUAACACGUGGGUAACCUGCCUGUAAGACUGGGAUAACUCCGGGAAACCGGAGCUAAUACCGGAUAGUUCCUUGAACCGCAUGGUUCAAGGAUGAAAGACGGUUUCGGCUGUCACUUACAGAUGGACCCGCGGCGCAUUAGCUAGUUGGUGGGGUAAUGGCUCACCAAGGCGACGAUGCGUAGCCGACCUGAGAGGGUGAUCGGCCACACUGGGACUGAGACACGGCCCAGACUCCUACGGGAGGCAGCAGUAGGGAAUCUUCCGCAAUGGACGAAAGUCUGACGGAGCAACGCCGCGUGAGUGAUGAAGGUUUUCGGAUCGUAAAGCUCUGUUGUUAGGGAAGAACAAGUGCGAGAGUAACUGCUCGCACCUUGACGGUACCUAACCAGAAAGCCACGGCUAACUACGUGCCAGCAGCCGCGGUAAUACGUAGGUGGCAAGCGUUGUCCGGAAUUAUUGGGCGUAAAGGGCUCGCAGGCGGUUUCUUAAGUCUGAUGUGAAAGCCCCCGGCUCAACCGGGGAGGGUCAU
Molecule: ribosomal RNA, 582 nt
Filed under: Bacillus sp. CH150a
Lineage: Bacteria; Bacillati; Bacillota; Bacilli; Caryophanales; Bacillaceae
Also listed under: 1 other name
Description: bacterial SSU rRNA
Rfam family: Bacterial small subunit ribosomal RNA
Source: RNAcentral